This 1369-nucleotide ribosomal RNA is filed under the name uncultured bacterium. RNAcentral's name for it is "bacterial SSU rRNA". It matches the Rfam family "Bacterial small subunit ribosomal RNA", at positions 28 to 1381 of the family's 1533-position model. The record is from RNAcentral.
GACGAACGCUGGCGGCGUGCCUAAUACAUGCAAGUAGAACGCUGAAGAGAGGAGCUUGCUCUUCUUGGAUGAGUUGCGAACGGGUGAGUAACGCGUAGGUAACCUGCCUUGUAGCGGGGGAUAACUAUUGGAAACGAUAGCUAAUACCGCAUAACAAUAGGUGACACAUGUCAUUUAUUUGAAAGGGGCAAUUGCUCCACUACAAGAUGGACCUGCGUUGUAUUAGCUAGUAGGUGAGGUAACGGCUCACCUAGGCGACGAUACAUAGCCGACCUGAGAGGGUGAUCGGCCACACUGGGACUGAGACACGGCCCAGACUCCUACGGGAGGCAGCAGUAGGGAAUCUUCGGCAAUGGGGGCAACCCUGACCGAGCAACGCCGCGUGAGUGAAGAAGGUUUUCGGAUCGUAAAGCUCUGUUGUAAGUCAAGAACGAGUGUGAGAGUGGAAAGUUCACACUGUGACGGUAGCUUACCAGAAAGGGACGGCUAACUACGUGCCAGCAGCCGCGGUAAUACGUAGGUCCCGAGCGUUGUCCGGAUUUAUUGGGCGUAAAGCGAGCGCAGGCGGUUUGAUAAGUCUGAAGUUAAAGGCUGUGGCUCAACCAUAGUUCGCUUUGGAAACUGUCAAACUUGAGUGCAGAAGGGGAGAGUGGAAUUCCAUGUGUAGCGGUGAAAUGCGUAGAUAUAUGGAGGAACACCGGUGGCGAAAGCGGCUCUCUGGUCUGUAACUGACGCUGAGGCUCGAAAGCGUGGGGAGCGAACAGGAUUAGAUACCCUGGUAGUCCACGCCGUAAACGAUGAGUGCUAGGUGUUGGAUCCUUUCCGGGAUUCAGUGCCGCAGCUAACGCAUUAAGCACUCCGCCUGGGGAGUACGACCGCAAGGUUGAAACUCAAAGGAAUUGACGGGGGCCCGCACAAGCGGUGGAGCAUGUGGUUUAAUUCGAAGCAACGCGAAGAACCUUACCAGGUCUUGACAUCCCGAUGCUAUUUCUAGAGAUAGAGAGUUACUUCGGUACAUCGGUGACAGGUGGUGCAUGGUUGUCGUCAGCUCGUGUCGUGAGAUGUUGGGUUAAGUCCCGCAACGAGCGCAACCCCUAUUGUUAGUUGCCAUCAUUCAGUUGGGCACUCUAGCGAGACUGCCGGUAAUAAACCGGAGGAAGGUGGGGAUGACGUCAAAUCAUCAUGCCCCUUAUGACCUGGGCUACACACGUGCUACAAUGGUUGGUACAACGAGUUGCGAGUCGGUGACGGCAAGCUAAUCUCUUAAAGCCAAUCUCAGUUCGGAUUGUAGGCUGCAACUCGCCUACAUGAAGUCGGAAUCGCUAGUAAUCGCGGAUCAGUACGCCGCGGUGAAUACGUUCCCGGGCCU